CCUACGGGUGGCAGCAGUGAGGAAUAUUGGUCAAUGGCCGGAAGGCUGAACCAGCCAUGCCGCGUGAAGGUCAGUGCCCUAUGGGCGUUAAACUUCUUUUGUGCGGGAGCAAUAAUGGUCACGUGUGGCCAGACGAGAGUACCGUACGAAUAAGCAUCGGCUAACUCCGUGCCAGCAGCCGCGGUAAUACGGGGAAUGCAAGCGUUAUCCGGAGUUAUUGGGGUUAAAGGGUGCGUAGGCUGUGAGGUAAGUCAGCGGUGAAAUGCCCCCGCUCAACGGGGUGAAGUGCCAUUGAUACUGCCUUGCUGGAAUGCGGAUGCCGUGGGAGGAAUGUGUGGUGUAGCGGUGAAAUGCAUAGAUAUCACACAGAACACCGAUUGCGAAGGCAUCUCACGAAUCCGCGAUUGACGCUGAUGCACGAAAGCGUGGGUAUCAAACAGGAUUAGAUACCCCUGUAGUC
Molecule: ribosomal RNA, 460 nt
Filed under: uncultured bacterium
Lineage: Bacteria
Description: partial 16S ribosomal RNA
Rfam family: Bacterial small subunit ribosomal RNA
Source: RNAcentral